Balaenoptera musculus (blue whale) is the source of this 98-nucleotide long non-coding RNA. RefSeq lists it as uncharacterized. The transcript is spliced from 3 exons. The record is from RefSeq and is a predicted model, not a curated record. Lineage: Eukaryota; Metazoa; Chordata; Mammalia; Artiodactyla; Balaenopteridae.
ACAACAUCAUCUCAGCCAGGUGAUCAAGGCCAAUAUCAACAGUGAUAAGUCAUGUUGAUAGUAUAUACUGUUGAUAAGAUGUGAUGAAAAUGGCACUU